AAUCAACGCUGGCGGCGUGCCUCAGACAUGCAAGUCGAACGCGAAAGUUUCCUUCGGGAAACAAGUAGAGUGGCGCACGGGUGAGUAACACGUAGGUAAUCUACCUUCGGAUGGGGAAUAACAAUCGGAAACGAUUGCUAAUACCGCAUAAUGCAGCGGCACCUAAUGGUGACAGUUGUUAAAGCGGGGGAUCGAAAGACCUCGCGUCUGAAGAGGAGCCUGCGGCGGAUUAGCUAGUUGGUAAGGUAAUGGCUUACCAAGGCUACGAUCCGUAACCGGCCUGAGAGGGCGGUCGGUCACACUGACACUGACAUACGGGUCAGACUCCUACGGGAGGCAGCAGUCGGGAAUUUUUGGGCGAAUGGGCGAAAAGCCUGACCCACGCAACCGACCGCGUGAAGGAUAGAAUACCCUCGGGAUGUAAACUUCGCAAGAACGGGAAGAAUAAGUAGGG
This 454-nucleotide ribosomal RNA is filed under the name uncultured bacterium. Its description in RNAcentral is "bacterial SSU rRNA". It matches the Rfam family "Bacterial small subunit ribosomal RNA", at positions 32 to 458 of the family's 1533-position model. The record is from RNAcentral.